UACGAAGGGUGCAAGCGUUACUCGGAAUUACUGGGCGUAAAGCGUGCGUAGGUGGCUUGUUAAGUCUGCUGUGAAAGCCCCGGGCUCAACCUGGGAAUGGCAGUGGAUACUGGCAAGCUAGAGUGCGGUAGAGGGUAGUGGAAUUCCCGGUGUAGCGGUGAAAUGCGUAGAGAUCGGGAGGAACACCCGUGGCGAAGGCGGCCAUCUGGACCAGCACUGACGCUGAGGCACGAAAGCGUGGGGAGCAAACAGG
RNAcentral lists this ribosomal RNA (253 nucleotides) under uncultured bacterium. RNAcentral describes it as "partial 16S ribosomal RNA". It matches the Rfam family "Bacterial small subunit ribosomal RNA", at positions 524 to 776 of the family's 1533-position model. The record is from RNAcentral.